This 541-nucleotide ribosomal RNA is filed under the name uncultured bacterium. RNAcentral describes it as "bacterial SSU rRNA". It matches the Rfam family "Bacterial small subunit ribosomal RNA", at positions 777 to 1317 of the family's 1533-position model. The record is from RNAcentral.
AAUAGAUACCCGGGUAGUCCACGCCGUAAACGAUGUCGACUUGGAGGUUGUUCCCUUGAGGAGUGGCUUCCGGAGCUAACGCGUUAAGUCGACCGCCUGGGGAGUACGGCCGCAAGGUUAAAACUCAAAUGAAUUGACGGGGGCCCGCACAAGCGGUGGAGCAUGUGGUUUAAUUCGAUGCAACGCGAAGAACCUUACCUACUCUUGACAUCCACGGAACUUUUCAGAGAUGAAUUGGUGCCUUCGGGAACCGUGAGACAGGUGCUGCAUGGCUGUCGUCAGCUCGUGUUGUGAAAUGUUGGGCUAAGUCCCGCAACGAGCGCAACCCUUAUCCUUUGUUGCCAGCGGUUAGGCCGGGAACUCAAAGGGGACUGCCAGUGAUAAACUGGAGGAAGGUGGGGAUGACGUCAAGUCAUCAUGGCCCUUACGAGUAGGGCUACACACGUGCUACAAUGGCGCAUACAAAGAAGAAGCGACCUCGCGAGAGCAAGCGGACCUCAUAAAGUGCGUCGUAGUCCGGAUUGGAGUCUGCAACUCGACU